CGUAACAAGGUCUCCGUAGGUGAACCUGCGGAGGGAUCAUUACACAAAUAUGAAGGCGGGCUGGAACCUCUCGGGGUUACAGCCUUGCUGAAUUAUUCACCCUUGUCUUUUGCGUACUUCUUGUUUCCUUGGUGGGUUCGCCCACCACUAGGACAAACAUAAACCUUUUGUAAUUGCAAUCAGCGUCAGUAACAAAUUAAUAAUUACAACUUUCAACAACGGAUCUCUUGGUUCUGGCAUCGAUGAAGAACGCAGCGAAAUGCGAUAAGUAGUGUGAAUUGCAGAAUUCAGUGAAUCAUCGAAUCUUUGAACGCACAUUGCGCCCUUUGGUAUUCCAAAGGGCAUGCCUGUUCGAGCGUCAUUUGUACCCUCAAGCUUUGCUUGGUGUUGGGCGUCUUGUCUCUAGCUUUGCUGGAGACUCGCCUUAAAGUAAUUGGCAGCCGGCCUACUGGUUUCGGAGCGCAGCACAAGUCGCACUCUCUAUCAGCAAAGGUCUAGCAUCCAUUAAGCCUUUUUUUCAACUUCUGACCUCGGAUCAGGUAGGGAUACCCGCUGAACUUAAGCAUAUCA
This 570-nucleotide ribosomal RNA is filed under the name uncultured fungus. RNAcentral's name for it is "eukaryotic LSU rRNA". The stretch from base 208 to 361 matches the Rfam family "5.8S ribosomal RNA". The record is from RNAcentral. Lineage: Eukaryota; Fungi.